Molecule: ribosomal RNA, 805 nt
Filed under: uncultured cyanobacterium
Lineage: Bacteria; Bacillati; Cyanobacteriota
Description: bacterial SSU rRNA
Rfam family: Bacterial small subunit ribosomal RNA
Source: RNAcentral
AACGAAAGCUUAGCUUUAGUGGCAAACGGGUGAGUAACACGUAAGAAUCUGCCUUCAGGAGGGAAAUAACAUUUGGAAACGAUUGCUAAUGUCCCAUAUGCUGAAAAGUGAAAUAAUUUUUGCCUGAAGAUGAGCUUGCGCCUGAUUAGCUAGUUGGUAAGGUAAUGGCUUACCAAGGCUACGAUCAGUAGCUGGUUUGAGAGGAUGAUCAGCCACACUGGAACUGAGACACGGUCCAGACUUCUACGGAAGGCAGCAGUGGGGAAUUUUCCGCAAUGGGCGAAAGCCUGACGGAGCAAUACCGCGUGAGGGAUGAAUGCCUGUGGGUUGUAAACCUCUUUUAUCAGGGAAGAAUAUUGACGGUACCUGAUGAAUAAGCAUCGGCUAACUCCGUGCCAGCAGCCGCGGUAAUACGGGGGAUGCAAGCGUUAUCCGGAAUUAUUGGGCGUAAAGAGUCUGUAGGUUGUUUAAUAAGUCUGCUGUUAAAUAUUAGAGCUCAACUCUAAAAAAGCAGUAGAAACUAUUAAACUGGAGUAUGGUAGGGGCAAAGGGAAUUCCCAGUGUAGCGGUGAAAUGCGUAGAUAUUGGGAAGAACACCAGAAGCGAAGGCGCUUUGCUGGGCCAUAACUGACACUCAGAGACGAAAGCUAGGGGAGCAAAUGGGAUUAGAUACCCCAGUAGUCCUAGCUGUAAACGAUGGAUACUAGAUGUUGCGCGUAUCGAUCCGUGCAGUAUCGUAGCUAACGCGUUAAGUAUCCCGCCUGGGAAGUAUGCUCGCAAGAGUGAAACUCAAAGGAAUUGACGG